This is an unclassified non-coding RNA of Macaca fascicularis (crab-eating macaque), 148 nucleotides long. It matches the Rfam family "Metazoan signal recognition particle RNA". From Rfam's summary of the family: The signal recognition particle (SRP) is a universally conserved ribonucleoprotein. It is involved in the co-translational targeting of proteins to membranes. The record is from Ensembl. NCBI's taxonomy places the organism in Eukaryota, Metazoa, Chordata, Mammalia, Primates, Cercopithecidae.
GCCGGGCAUGGUGGCGGGUGCCUGUAAUCCCAGCUACUUGGGAGGCUGAGGCAGGAGAAUCACUUGAACCUGGGAGGCGGAGGUUGCAGUGAGCCAAGAUCAUGCUGUUGCACUCUAGCCUGGGUGACAGAGUGAGACUCUGUCUCAA